Molecule: long non-coding RNA, 1007 nt
Filed under: Hordeum vulgare
Lineage: Eukaryota; Viridiplantae; Streptophyta; Magnoliopsida; Poales; Poaceae
Description: long non-coding RNA (HVUL_LNC010994)
Source: RNAcentral
CAAGCCAACAGGGCGCGACCAUCCUCCUCGGCACGCCUUGUUGUCUAGGGCCCACCUCGUGGCUCCGUUUGACGUGAUCCCAACACUGAAAAUGAAAUAUAUUGGAAAACACCCUCAAGUUAACCUCGAACAUCCGCUCCGUCGCGUAUGUCUCUUUACCGAAGAAACCUUAUCCGGAGCCCUGUCAUAAGGGACAGUCUGUUGGAAAUAUACCCUAGCAGCAAUAAAUUGGUUAUUAUUAUAUUUCCUUGUUCAUGAUAAUUGUCUAUUAUUCAUGCUAUAAUUGUAUUAACCGAAAACCGUAAUACAUGUGUGAACAGUGACGGAGCUAGCAAUUUAUCAAUGCCUGGGCACGACGUAAGCUAAAUUUUACUUUGGUAUGUGAAACACUAAUUAGUGCAUACUCAUAUGUAAACUAGUACUUAUAAAUCUUUUAAACCACUACUAGCCACACGACCAAAUAUUUUGAUGUCUUGACAAGAACAAUCUCCAAUGUUCAUCGUUUGCGCACGAAAAAGAAUCUACAAGAUAUAACACAUUAGCAAAUUAUACAAAAUUCAUCAAAACUAAACCAUUAGAGAACGAACAAUACCAAUAAUGUGCUAAUUGCACAAGUCCUCAACCUAAUUGUUUGCUUGCGUGGAUAGUGCCGACGAGGACGACCCACCGUCUAAUCAAGCGGGAGAUGAAUUUUAACCGGCACUAGAGGAUCUGCCACCUGUUUGCCCGCGCUUGCGCUUCCCGUCCUGACAGUCGGCUGUGGUAGUCAUGGACGAGGCCUGGCCACAAUCGCUCUUGUGAUCUUGCCGGCGAGGGUGAUCCGGCACUUCGCGUCAGAGGCGCAGUCGCGCAAGAGUGGUGGUUAGGGCCAGCCGGCCAGGUUGUGUCUCGCGAGUAUCGUUUUCACGCACACAAACAGGCUAGAUGAGAGGCUGAUAGAUCGAUUCAUAUUCGUGCUAUUCUUCUCAUGACCUACCAUGGCCUGCUGUAGCCCAUGUACAGAGUUG